This 253-nucleotide ribosomal RNA is filed under the name uncultured bacterium. Its description in RNAcentral is "partial 16S ribosomal RNA". It matches the Rfam family "Bacterial small subunit ribosomal RNA", at positions 524 to 776 of the family's 1533-position model. The record is from RNAcentral.
UACGUAGGGGGCAAGCGUUAUCCGGAUUUACUGGGUGUAAAGGGAGCGUAGACGGCAAUACAAGUCGGAAGUGAAAUACCCGGGCUCAACCUGGGAACUGCUUUGGAAACUGUAUGGCUGGAGUGCUGGAGAGGUAAGCGGAAUUCCUAGUGUAGCGGUGAAAUGCGUAGAUAUUAGGAGGAACACCAGUGGCGAAGGCGGCUUACUGGACUGUAACUGACGCUGAGGCACGAAAGUGUGGGGAGCAAACAGG